RNAcentral lists this ribosomal RNA (404 nucleotides) under Brucella melitensis. RNAcentral describes it as "partial 16S ribosomal RNA". It matches the Rfam family "Bacterial small subunit ribosomal RNA", at positions 355 to 776 of the family's 1533-position model. The record is from RNAcentral. RNAcentral also lists the same sequence under 2 other names. Lineage: Bacteria; Pseudomonadati; Pseudomonadota; Alphaproteobacteria; Hyphomicrobiales; Brucellaceae.
UGGGGAAUAUUGGACAAUGGGCGCAAGCCUGAUCCAGCCAUGCCGCGUGAGUGAUGAAGGCCCUAGGGUUGUAAAGCUCUUUCACCGGUGAAGAUAAUGACGGUAACCGGAGAAGAAGCCCCGGCUAACUUCGUGCCAGCAGCCGCGGUAAUACGAAGGGGGCUAGCGUUGUUCGGAUUUACUGGGCGUAAAGCGCACGUAGGCGGACUUUUAAGUCAGGGGUGAAAUCCCGGGGCUCAACCCCGGAACUGCCUUUGAUACUGGAAGUCUUGAGUAUGGUAGAGGUGAGUGGAAUUCCGAGUGUAGAGGUGAAAUUCGUAGAUAUUCGGAGGAACACCAGUGGCGAAGGCGGCUCACUGGAGCAUUACUGACGCUGAGGUGCGAAAGCGUGGGGAGCAAACAGG